This 839-nucleotide ribosomal RNA is filed under the name uncultured bacterium. RNAcentral describes it as "bacterial SSU rRNA". It matches the Rfam family "Bacterial small subunit ribosomal RNA", at positions 46 to 878 of the family's 1533-position model. The record is from RNAcentral.
GCUUAACACAUGCAAGUCGAACGGUAACAUAGGAGCUUGCUCCUGAUGACGAGUGGCGGACGGGUGCGUAACGCGUAGGAAUCUGCCUAUUAGUGGGGGACAACAUGGUGAAAACCAUGCUAAUACCGCAUACGCCCUACGGGGGAAAGCGGGGGAUCUUCGGACCUCGCGCUAAUAGAUGAGCCUGCGUUAGAUUAGCUAGUUGGUGAGGUAAAGGCUCACCAAGGCGACGAUCUAUAGCUGGUCUGAGAGGACGAUCAGCCACACUGGGACUGAGACACGGCCCAGACUCCUACGGGAGGCAGCAGUGGGGAAUAUUGGACAAUGGGCGAAAGCCUGAUCCAGCAAUACCGCGUGUGUGAAGAAGGCCUGAGGGUUGUAAAGCACUUUCAAUUGGGAGGAAAACAGGCAGGUUAACAUCCUGUCUCUUGACAUUACCUUUAGAAGAAGCACCGGCUAACUCCGUGCCAGCAGCCGCGGUAAUACGGAGGGUGCGAGCGUUAAUCGGAAUUACUGGGCGUAAAGAGUUCGUAGGCGGUAAGUUAAGUUAGAUGUGAAAGCCCCGGGCUUAACCUGGGAACUGCAUUUAAAACUGGCUUACUCGAGUUUAGUAGAGGGAAGUGGAAUUUCAGGUGUAGCAGUGAAAUGCGUAGAGAUCUGAAGGAACACCAGUGGCGAAGGCGACUUCCUGGACUAAAACUGACGCUGAGGAACGAAAGCGUGGGUAGCAAACGGGAUUAGAUACCCCGGUAGUCCACGCCGUAAACGAUGUCAACUAGCCGUUGGGUCUAUUCGUAGACUUAGUGGCGGAGCUAACGUAUUAAGUUGACCGCCUGGGG